RNAcentral lists this long non-coding RNA (1197 nucleotides) under Capsicum annuum. Its description in RNAcentral is "long non-coding RNA (CANN_LNC018486)". The record is from RNAcentral. Lineage: Eukaryota; Viridiplantae; Streptophyta; Magnoliopsida; Solanales; Solanaceae.
GCACCUAUGGCAUUCAACUCAAGUUUAGCUCAAAAAAUUUUACCCCCUCCUAUUUUCAACUUUUUAAAAACCAUUAUGUGGAUACAUGUAGCACAACACUGUGACAUAAUAAAAUAAAGUAAUGGCAAUGGAUACUACCUCAAUGUAUAACCGGUUAACAAUACAACCCAUGUACACUCAUAGAAAAGAAGUCCCAACUCUCACAGUAUCAUAAUGUCAAUGCAAGGGACUAUGUCAAGACACUCACUCUCACAAAAGAAAUUUCAAUCAAUGUGCAUAGAAUACCAUAUGCUUUCCCUUAUUAUCUAUACAUUAGUUUUUUGGACAAUUGAACGAGGAUCACUAUAGGACUUUGUUUUUCUUGUAAUGUAGAUUUGGGGGCAGGAAUAGUACAUUUGGGAUAUAGUGACUAACCCUCCUUGACACUAUACUUACAUUUUGUCUCUAUUUCUCAACCAUUUUUUUAUUUUCUCCUUUUUUUCCUUUAUUAAAUUUUUUUCAAAUUGGGUGUGGUUUUUAUUUAUUGAUUUUUUAUUUUUUUCUUUUUGUUUUCAAGUUUUCCACCUUUUUCUUUCUUCUUUCUUUUUUUCUACCACGCCUAACUUUACUUUCUUUUUCUUUUAUAUUAUACAUCGUUCUGCAUACCCAAUGUUAACAAUGAACUCUUAUAAUAGUCACCCUCAACUUAGGCAAUUUGACUGAGUUGAGGUGCAUAAUGUCCAGGAGGAAACAGGGCCAAAAUAAGCUCAUUGUAAUCAAUUGGAAAUAUGGACAGGUGAAAACCAAAAAGUAGGUCAAUGUAGGCUUGAAUCAGGGAUCAAGGAUACUUAUUCAUUUUUAGACGAUUAUUUAGGCUAAGAAUGGACUAAGUAAAAAAUGGCCUAUGAUCAUGUCCUACCCAAGUAUCCUACAACCUAGGCAAGACUAACCGAGCAAGUUUUGAAUUGAAUGCAUAAAAAAAUCUAGGUAAGUACCUAACACACACAUGGUACAGGGUUAGAUAACCGACUACUAACUAUCCAGUUCAUGCAAUGCUAAGCUAUGAUUAUUUUAUUCCUAAUCCUAAUGCCAUGACAUGAUUCAAACAAUAGUCACACAGAUAUUUACAUCAUACAAUUCAUAAAAAUUUUGAAGGGAUAGUUUUUUUUCAAAACACUUGCGAAUAAACAAAAUAUGUCAACUGCCCUUAGGUUCCUU